RNAcentral lists this ribosomal RNA (490 nucleotides) under uncultured bacterium Riz1076. RNAcentral's name for it is "bacterial SSU rRNA". It matches the Rfam family "Bacterial small subunit ribosomal RNA", at positions 8 to 479 of the family's 1533-position model. The record is from RNAcentral.
AGAGUUUGAUCAUGGNUCAGAACGAACGCUGGCGGCGUGGAUAAGACAUGCAAGUCGAACGGGACAUUAUUUGUAGCAAUACAGAUGAUGUUCAGUGGCGAAAGGGUGCGUAACACGUGGGCAAUNUACCGAGAAGUGGGGCAUAGNUCGCCGAAAGGCGAAUUAAUACCGCAUGUGACCUUGGACCUCCUAGUNUGAGCGUCAAAGCCGGGGCAACCUGGCGCUUNUUGAUGAGCCCGCGGCCUAUCAGCUAGUUGGUGAGGUAACGGCUCACCAAGGCUAUGACGGGUAGCUGGUNUGAGAGGACGACCAGCCACACUGGAACUGAGACACGGUCCAGACACCUACGGGUGGCAGCAGUCGAGAAUUUUUCACAAUGGGGGAAACCCUGAUGGAGCGACGCCGCGUGGAGGAUGAAGGUNUUCGGAUUGUAAACUCCUGUCAUUGGUGAACAAGAUGGGCGGGGUAACUCCUUGCCUAUUUGCUUAGU